CCUACGGGGGGCUGCAGUCGAGAAUCAUUCACAAUGGGGGAAACCCUGAUGGUGCGACGCCGCGUGGGGGAAUGAAGGUCUUCGGAUUGUAAACCCCUGUCAUGUGGGAGCAAAUUAAAAAGAUAGUACCACAAGAGGAAGAGACGGCUAACUCUGUGCCAGCCGCCGCGGUAAUACAGAGGUCUCAAGCGUUGUUCGGAAUCACUGGGCGUAAGGCGUGCGUAGGCUGUUUCGUAAGUCGGGUGUGAAAGGCGCGGGCUCAACCCGCGGACGGCACAUGAUACUGCGAGACUAGAGUAAUGGAGGGGGAACCGGAAUUCUCGGUGUAGCAGUGAAAUGCGUAGAUAUCGAGAGGAACACUCGUGGCGAAGGCGGGUUCCUGGACAUUAACUGACGCUGAGGCACGAAGGCCAGGGGAGCGAAAGGGAUUAGAUACCCCGGUAGUC
RNAcentral lists this ribosomal RNA (446 nucleotides) under uncultured bacterium. Its description in RNAcentral is "partial 16S ribosomal RNA". It matches the Rfam family "Bacterial small subunit ribosomal RNA", at positions 338 to 795 of the family's 1533-position model. The record is from RNAcentral.